Molecule: ribosomal RNA, 253 nt
Filed under: uncultured bacterium
Lineage: Bacteria
Description: partial 16S ribosomal RNA
Rfam family: Bacterial small subunit ribosomal RNA
Source: RNAcentral
UACGUAGGCAGCAAGCGUUGUUCGGAAUUACUGGGCGUAAAGAGUGUGUAGGCGGUGCUCUAAGUUCGUUGUGAAAUCUCCCGGCUUAACUGGGAGGGUGCGGCGGAAACUGGAGUGCUUGAGCGCGGGAGAGGAAAGCGGAAUUCCUGGUGUAGCGGUGAAAUGCGUAGAUAUCAGGAGGAACACCUGUGGUGUAGACGGCUUUCUGGACCGUAGCUGACGCUGAGACACAAAAGCGUGGGUAGCAAACAGG